UACGAAGGGGGCUAGCGUUGCUCGGAAUCACUGGGCGUAAAGCGCACGUAGGCGGAUUCUUAAGUCGGUGGUGAAAUCCUGGAGCUCAACUCCAGAACUGCCUUCGAUACUGAGAGUCUUGAGUUCGGGAGAGGUGAGUGGAACUGCGAGUGUAGAGGUGAAAUUCGUAGAUAUUCGCAAGAACACCAGUGGCGAAGGCGGCUCACUGGCCCGAUACUGACGCUGAGGAGCGAAAGCUAGGGGAGCAAACGGG
Molecule: ribosomal RNA, 253 nt
Filed under: uncultured bacterium
Lineage: Bacteria
Description: partial 16S ribosomal RNA
Rfam family: Bacterial small subunit ribosomal RNA
Source: RNAcentral